Molecule: long non-coding RNA, 4083 nt
Organism: Erinaceus europaeus (western European hedgehog)
Lineage: Eukaryota; Metazoa; Chordata; Mammalia; Eulipotyphla; Erinaceidae
Exons: 4
Source: RefSeq, a predicted model, not a curated record
UUCAUGUAUUUUUCCCCGAAGGCAUUUUUAAACCAAUGAUACUUGAAGUAUGGGAGGGGGGAGGAUGGUUAAACUAUAUCUUCAAGCCAGCUGCCAUGCAUGAAUAUCUAAAGGUGAUAUUCUUUUUUUAUUCUUGCUAUUUUUUAAUUUGAUAUAUUACAAGAUUGUAAGAUUACAGGGGCCCACACCACACCUACACCAAAGUUCUGUGCCCCCACUUCCAAUGAUAAUCAGCAUUGUUCUCACAAAAUCUUAAGACAGCUUUCUUCUCCUCCUCCUCCUCCUCCUGCUUUUUUGCAAGUUAAUGUGUAUCCAUUCUCUAAAGUCUUCAUUUGAGUGAAACCAUCUGGUAGUUGUCUUUCAACUCUUUAUUUAUUUUAGUAAGUAUAAUCAUAGAAAAGAUAUUCUUCUCUAUAACAGGCUUUUCAAAUGUCAGCUUCAGGGUUGCAGAAGAGUUGAGUAGACUAGAGAGUCGCUAUGUAUUUUUCACAUGUGACUCACCAGCACCUUCCAUUAGUAAGGCACAUCUGUUAACACUGAGCAGCACUCAUUUAUUAUUAUUAAGAACUAAAAUUUCAAAAAAAAAAAAAAAAAAGAACUAAAAUUUCAGGGUUUAUUCAGAUUUCCUUAGUUUUUAUCUACUACUCUUCAGCUAUUUCAAGAUACCACAUUACAUUAAUUAUCAUGUCUCUCUUUGCUAUUUUUCAAAUUUUUGUUGUUCUUGAUGACAUUGACAGUUUAUUCAGGUUGUUUUUGUUUGUUUGUUUGUUUGCCUCCAGGAUUAUUGCUGGGGCUCGGUGCCUACACUAUGAAUCCACUGCUCCUAUUUUGUUGCCCUUGUUGUUACCAUUGUAGUUGUUAUGAUUGUUGUCACUGCUGUUGUUGUCAGAUAGGACAAAAAGAAAUCAAGAGAGGAGGGGAGACAGAAAGGGAGAGAGAAAGACAGACACCUACAGACCUGCUUUGCCACUAGUGAAGCGACCCCUGCAGGUGGGGAGCCUGGGCCUCGAACCUGGAUCCUUACUCCAGUCCUUGCGCUUCAUGCCAUGUGUGCUUAACCCGCUGCGCCACUGCCCAGCACCUGACAUUGACAGUUUUUAUGUGUAUGAACAUCAGAUAUUUAGGGACAGCCUGUCUAUUGAAAUUAUUCGUUUAUUCUUGCAAAAUUAGAUUGGGGGUAUGGGUUCGGGGGGAAGAAGAGCACAGAAGUAGAAUGUCAUUGUCAUUGCAUUUUAUCUAAGAUUAUAGCUGUUGCUGUUGACCCCUCCCCCCCCAAACUGUCAGAUUUGUUUGUUUGUUUUAUUUUGUCUUUGCCACCAGGCUUAUCACUGCGGCUCUGUGACUACACCACAACCCCACUCUUCCUGUGGCCAUUUCUUUUUCUUUUCCUUACAUUUCUGAGUGAGAAAGAGGAAAAUAUGGAGUAAGACAAAGGAACAGUAGAAGAGAGAAAGAAAGACACCUGUAGCACUGCUCCACUGUUCGUGAAGCUUCCCCUCAGCAAGUGGAGACCAGGGACUUGAACCCCAGUCCUUACACAUGGUAACAUGUGAACUCUACCAGAAGAAUACCACCACCUGGCCCUCCCACACUGUAGUCUUUUAAAAGAAGUCUUUAUGUGCAGCCCACACAUUUUCACUUUCCAAAAUGGGUCAAGAUGCUGGUUACUAAUGAAGCAGAUAAAGAUAUAGAACCAGGGGGUUCACAGUCAGAUCUGGAGAUUUUCCCAGAAUUCAUUCAGUGGCAAGUAUUCAGGUACACAGGACUUUUCUGUAACUGGCAGGUCGGGAUAAUUGUUACAGUAUAGCUGUCAAGUGCUAUAUUGUCCCACCCCCUGCUGAAAGUAAGUGUUUCCUACAAUCUCUGUCUAGCUCAGUUCUAUAGUGAGACAGGGACGCUUGGUCUCAAACAUUAUUUCCCGCAGCAGGAUUAUGAAAAGUGUUCUCUCUGCCUCCUUGGUGCAUUGAUGUCACUAGCCAUCUCUUUCAAGGUUGUGUUGCUUUCUGCCGACGUGCUAAUUGAUAAGUUGAAUGUCAUCUAAAAGUUCAUGAGAGCCAUUUCAAAUUUACUGAAGAAGGAAGAAGCAACCCUGGAUAGAGUUGAUAUCUUAUUUCAUUUGCAGCCGGGGCACUCCUAUGAGGUGUCUUAACUAAAACCUGGAGCACACAUGGCAAGACACAUGUGCUGCCCAGUGAGCUGUCUCUGGCCCUGCAGAUCAGUCAUAUAUGUAAACUUUGGCAGAGGGUCAUGUUCUCCUGAUUGAUACACGAUAUUGUUCAGAUCUUUUUUUUUAACCUUAUUUAAACUCUGUGCUAAAAUCGCAGAAACUAGUACUAUGUCUUAGUAUUUUUAAUAAAGCAAGCAGAGAACCCAAGAGGACGGGAGGACAGUCCAGGUAGUUGAAAACCUGAGAUGAAUCUCUUCCAGGGUGUUUGCUUCUAAGACUCGGUACAAUCCUGUCUGUAGCUAGGCAGAGUUAAUAAAAUGAAUGUCUGGUUUCCUCUCCCAGCUAGUAAGAAUGGAAUUAGACAUCAAAUAGCCUUUUUCUAGUGAUAUGAGUUAACAUUUUCAUCUCUGAAAUACUACAGGGAAGGAAAUUCUAUGCCCUUUGUGAGCUUACUGACCAUCAUAUGGGAUGAUGUUCUUUUUCCAAAACACAAGGCACUGGCUUUUGAAAACACACUGGUGGGGAAUUUCCGUCUCUGGUGUGGUGGUGGAAGAAGGAAAGAGACACUCUCCUGCAGGAAUUGAGGGGACUCCCACGCGCUGCCCAGGGCUUGGACAGGGUGGGUCCUCCCUGAUGCAUGAUCCAAGUUGUCAUCAGAAUAUUCUAAAAGGAGGAACUUGGGCACCGCGCACAGGUUUGUGCUGCACUCUAUAUAGAAGAUGGUCAGUUCCUUUUAAAAUAUCCUCAGCGGCUAUUUAGAGAGUGGGCACACCCAUUUCUUUAACUGUAUCUGUGUCAUAAAGCAAAUACGCCAAGGACAUUGAGAACUGCAAAACUGCUUUGCAUAAACACUCUGUCCAAACCCAUGCACUGAGAGACUGGGCCCAUUCCAACCCGGCUCCCAGCAGCCUAAGGCCACACCCUACGAUGACCUAGUUAAUCCUUUGAGAGCCUAUCUGGAAAUAUUCAGCACUGGCUAAAGGCCUCCCUCUGAGAACUCUGGCUAGAAGGGGCUGGUACUUGUGGACCCUUCCCCCGCUGAGUGUAUGAAUCUGCGACAUCAUAGGAGAGUCUUUUUCAGGAUCUGACAGCCAUUCUUUAGAAAUGUAACUGUCUCCAGCCUCCGGGGAGAACACAGUCCUGACUGGUUGGCUGCUAGUGACACAGCUGGCCUCACCACACUUUCUCCUAAUGUUAAUAAUUACUGGACAAGACUCGGGCUGGGCAGUGGUGCGUUCGGUUGAGCAGCAUGUGACCAUGGCAAGAAUCUGGGUUCAAGCCCCUGCUCUCUACAUACAGGGGGGAAGCUUCAUGAGUGGUAAAGCAGGUCUGCAGGUAUCUUUCUCUCGUCCCAUACCCCUUUCUUUUAAAAAAAAAAAAAAAGAUUUUAUUUAUUAAUGAGAAAUAUAGGAGGAGAAAGAAGGAAUCACACAUCACUCUGGUACAUGUGCUGCCGGGGAUUGAACUCAGGACCUCAUGCUUGAGAGUCCAAUUCCUUAUCCACUGCACUACCUCCUGGGCCACUGUCUAUAACCUUCUCUAUAUCCCAUCCCCCUCUCAAUUUCUCUCUGUCCUAAUGAAAAAUAAAGGGGGAGGUGUGGGGAGCCACAUGUGCCCUCAAGGUUGCUAUUGGCAUGGCCACAUAGCCGUUGUUCACAGAAGGCCUUGUUUACAAGAUAAGUUUCUGUCUCCUAACUAGAGUCUUGACAAAGAAAAGUUUCUGUUUGUCACCACUGUACCGUUUCUCGUAAGUCAGGUAACUUGCCCACCUCCCUAUGAAUCACCCAGGACCUUCCAGAUAACGGCUGAUCACCAUGACAACAUGCCACGUCAACCAACUGCCCCCAGCUGCUAACCUCCCCCUUACCCUGGCCUUAAAAACAGCAGCUUUGGUGCUAAUAAACAGACUUGAUCAG